UACGUAGGGUGCAGGCGUUGUCCGGAAUUAUUGGGCGUAAAGAGCUCGUAGGCGGUUUGUCGCGUCUGCUGUGAAAACUCGGGGCUCAACCUCGGGCCUGCAGUCGAUACGGGCAAACUAGAGUACUGCAGGGGAGACUGGAAUUCCUGGUGUAGCGGUGAAAUGCGCAGAUAUCAGGAGGAACACCGGUGGCGAAGGCGGGUCUCUGGGCAGUAACUGACGCUGAGGAGCGAAAGCGUGGGGAGCGAACAGG
Molecule: ribosomal RNA, 253 nt
Filed under: uncultured bacterium
Lineage: Bacteria
Description: partial 16S ribosomal RNA
Rfam family: Bacterial small subunit ribosomal RNA
Source: RNAcentral